GAUCAUGGCUCCAGAUGAACGCUGGCGGCGCGCCUAACACAUGCAAGUCGAACGGACGAUGAAAAGCUUGCUUUUCAAAGUUAGUGGCGGACGGGUGAGUAACGCGUGGGUAACCUGCCUCAUACAGGGGAAUAGCAGCUGGAAACGGCUGAUAAAACCGCAUAAGCGCACAGUGCCGCAUGGCACAGUGUGAAAAACUCCGGUGGUAUGAGAUGGACCCGCGUCUGAUUAG
RNAcentral lists this ribosomal RNA (232 nucleotides) under uncultured bacterium. RNAcentral describes it as "partial 16S ribosomal RNA". It matches the Rfam family "Bacterial small subunit ribosomal RNA", at positions 15 to 244 of the family's 1533-position model. The record is from RNAcentral.